Molecule: long non-coding RNA, 285 nt
Filed under: Carica papaya (papaya)
Lineage: Eukaryota; Viridiplantae; Streptophyta; Magnoliopsida; Brassicales; Caricaceae
Description: long non-coding RNA (CPAP_LNC008226)
Source: RNAcentral
CCUUCUGGUAUCGUUUCUUCCAAGGUCAUAAUUUCUAUUCGAUUGAUUCAGUCUCGUUGUUUGAUAGUUGGUCCUGGAUAGAGUAACCUUGAGUAUUGUCACUUUGUAACUGCAUCUUUUUGUUUCGUAGAAGAUCAUGAAUACUAGCCCACUUCCUGCCUUUAAUUAGUUUAGGCAUGUCUUUGGCUGCUAUCAUGUCAAUACCUUAUUUAUGGGAGUUAAAAAUGAAAUGAUUACAAACUAAAGAGAUCCCACCAAUGAUAACAUUAUAAUGAAACUAAUAGG